GGAAGAUACACCAUUCAUCGUGACAGCUACGACAAAGUAUUCCCUAGGGCUCAUCACUUCAAAGGUUCAAAUGCACGCGUUGAGUCAUCAAAGGACUCAGGAAUGGUGACAAUGAAUGGAAUGAACCUGGUGGAAAUGUUUUUAGAUACGAAUAAAUGGGUUGAUCUUUUUCCAACAAUUGUUACUAGAGCAAGCAUAAUUCAAGUACUUGAAACUGGAUUGAUAGGAAACCGAAGUGGUUCCUUGCAGCUGAUGUAUGAACAGAUGCACAUACUUUCUCCCUUGGUUCCAUCGAGGGAAUUCUGCUUCCUUCGUCAAUGUCAGCAAAUUGAGGCUGACACAUGGGUGAUCGCAGAUGUAUCCUAUGACUGCUUAAAAGAAAAUGGCUUCUCGUCCCGCUCUUGGAG
RNAcentral lists this unclassified non-coding RNA (407 nucleotides) under Hevea brasiliensis (rubber tree). Lineage: Eukaryota; Viridiplantae; Streptophyta; Magnoliopsida; Malpighiales; Euphorbiaceae. The record is from RNAcentral.